GAAACACGGACCAAGGAGUCUAGCAUGUGCGCGAGUCAUUGGGAAUUAUUAAACCUAAAGGCGCAAUGAAAGUGAAGGUUCGUCUCGCGCGGACCAAGGGAAGAUGGGCGUGUCGCGAUUACCACGACCGCCCCGCACUCCCGGGGCGUCUCGUUCUCAUUGCGAGAAGAGGCGCACCAAGAGCGUACACGCUGGGACCCGAAAGAUGGUGAACUAUGCCUGGUCAGGACGAAGUCAGGGGAAACCCUGAUGGAGGUCCGUAGCGAUUCUGACGUGCAAAUCGAUCGUCGGAACUGGGUAUAGGGGCGAAAGACUAAUCGAACCAUCUAGUAGCUGGUUCCCUCCGAAGUUUCCCUCAGGAUAGCUGGCGCUCGUCGCCUACGAGUCUCAUCCGGUAAAGCGAAUGAUUAGAGGCAUUGGGGUCGAAACGGCCUCAACCUAUUCUCAAACUUUAAAUGGGUGAGAUCUCCGGCUUGCUCGAACUAUUGAAGCCGCGAGACACGGAUCAGAGUGCCAAGUGGGCCAUUUUUGGUAAGCAGAACUGGCGCUGUGGGAUGAACCAAACGCCGAGUUAAAGCGCCUAAAUCGACGCUUAUGGGAUACCAUGAAAGGCGUUGGUAACUUAAGACAGCAGGACGGUGGCCAUGGAAGUCGUAUCCG
Molecule: ribosomal RNA, 660 nt
Filed under: Ichnea marginella
Lineage: Eukaryota; Metazoa; Arthropoda; Insecta; Coleoptera; Cleridae
Description: partial 28S large subunit ribosomal RNA
Rfam family: Eukaryotic large subunit ribosomal RNA
Source: RNAcentral